GCCGGGGUGUUGAAACUGGGAAACAAACUGGACUUAAAAUCCAGCGUCCGCAAGGACUUGAGGGUUCAACUCCCUCCCCCGGCACCA
RNAcentral lists this transfer RNA (87 nucleotides) under Candidatus Omnitrophota bacterium. RNAcentral describes it as "tRNA-Leu". It matches the Rfam family "tRNA". Rfam says of the family: Transfer RNA (tRNA) molecules are approximately 80 nucleotides in length. Their secondary structure includes four short double-helical elements and three loops (D, anti-codon, and T loops). Further hydrogen bonds mediate the characteristic L-shaped molecular structure. tRNAs have two regions of fundamental functional importance: the anti-codon, which is responsible for specific mRNA codon recognition, and the 3' end, to which the tRNAs corresponding amino acid is attached (by aminoacyl-tRNA synthetases). tRNAs cope with the degeneracy of the genetic code in two manners: having more than one tRNA (with a specific anti-codon) for a particular amino acid; and 'wobble' base-pairing, i.e. permitting non-standard base-pairing at the 3rd anti-codon position. Lineage: Bacteria; Pseudomonadati; Candidatus Omnitrophota. The record is from RNAcentral.